Molecule: ribosomal RNA, 496 nt
Filed under: uncultured bacterium
Lineage: Bacteria
Description: partial 16S ribosomal RNA
Rfam family: Bacterial small subunit ribosomal RNA
Source: RNAcentral
GAUGAACGCUAGCGGCAGGCCUAAUACAUGCAAGUCGAGGGGUAGAAGAGGCUUGCUUCUUUGAGACCGGCGCACGGGUGCGUAACGCGUAUGCAACCUACCUUCAUCUGGGGGAUAGCCCGGAGAAAUCCGGAUUAAUACCGCAUAAAAUCACAGGAUGGCAUUAUCCAAUGAUCAAACAUUUAUGGGAUGGAGAUGGGCAGGCGUGUCAAUAGCUAGUUGGCGGGGUAACGGCCCACCAAGGCGACGAUGACUAGGGGGUCGGAGAGGAUGGCCCCCCGCACUGGGACUGAGACACGGACCAGGCUCCGACGGGAGGCAGCAUCAAGGAAUAUUAGUCGAUGGAGGCAACUGUGAACCAACCAUGCCGCGCGCAGGAAGACUGCGCUAUGGGUUGUAAACUGCUUUUAUUCGGGAAUAAACCUUAUUCCGUGUAAUAAGCUGAAUGUACCGAAGGAAUAAGGAUCGGCUGACUCCGUGCCAGCCGCCGCAGUAA